GGGGCGUUAGCUCAGCUGGUAGAGCAGCGGACUCUUAAUCCGUUGGUCGUAGGUUCGAUCCCUACACGCCCUACCA
This 76-nucleotide transfer RNA is filed under the name Burkholderiales bacterium. Its description in RNAcentral is "tRNA-Lys". It matches the Rfam family "tRNA". From Rfam's summary of the family: Transfer RNA (tRNA) molecules are approximately 80 nucleotides in length. RNAcentral also lists the same sequence under 3 other names. Lineage: Bacteria; Pseudomonadati; Pseudomonadota; Betaproteobacteria; Burkholderiales. The record is from RNAcentral.